This 433-nucleotide ribosomal RNA is filed under the name uncultured bacterium. RNAcentral's name for it is "partial 16S ribosomal RNA". It matches the Rfam family "Bacterial small subunit ribosomal RNA", at positions 29 to 507 of the family's 1533-position model. The record is from RNAcentral.
AACGAACGCUGGCGGCAUGCCUAACACAUGCAAGUCGAACGAGACCUUCGGGUCUAGUGGCGCACGGGUGCGUAACGCGUGGGAACCUGCCCUUAGGUUCGGAAUAACUCCCCGAAAGGGGUGCUAAUACCGGAUAAUGUCUUCGGACCCAAGAUUUAUCGCCCUUGGAUGGGCCCGCGUUGGAUUAGCUAGUUGGUAGGGUAAAAGCCUACCAAGGCGACGCUCCAUAGCUGGUCUGAGAGAAUGAGCAGCCACACUGGGACUGAGACACGGCCCAGACUCCUACGGGAGGCAGCAGUGGGUAAUAUUGGACAAUGGGCGAGAGGCUGAUCCAGCAAUGCCGCGUGAGUGAUGAAGGCCUUAGGGUUGUAAAGCUCUUUUACCCGGGAUGAUAAUGACAGUACCGGGAGAAUAAGCUCCGGCUAACUCCGUG